CACGUAGGGGCCAAGCGUUGUCCGGAUUUAUUGGGCGUAAAGAGCUCGUAGGCGGUUCGGUAAGUCGGGUGUGAAAACUCUGGGCUCAACUCAGAGACGCCACCCGAUACUGCCGUGACUCGAGUCCGGUAGGGGAGUGGGGAAUUCCUGGUGUAGCGGUGAAAUGCGCAGAUAUCAGGAGGAACACCGGUGGCGAAGGCGCCACUCUGGGCCGGUACUGACGCUGAGGAGCGAAAGCGUGGGUAGCAAACAGG
This 254-nucleotide ribosomal RNA is filed under the name uncultured bacterium. RNAcentral describes it as "partial 16S ribosomal RNA". It matches the Rfam family "Bacterial small subunit ribosomal RNA", at positions 524 to 776 of the family's 1533-position model. The record is from RNAcentral.